CUUCCUUGAGUAUUAAUUGCUUGUUGAUGCAGGCAGGGAGUUCUUCCUGGUAAUGGGUGACAUAGAUCAGGGUGGUGCCGGCACGGGUGCAUACGGCAUCGAUCAGGGCGCGGAUACGCUGCACCUGCAGGUCGUCCAUACCCUGGCAGGGUUCGUCCAGCACGAGCAGGGGCGGAUUUUUGAUCAGCGCCCUGGCCAGCAGGGUAAGCCGCUGUAUGCCGGAGGACGCACGGACAAAGCGUUCGUCCCUGUGGGCGGCGAUGCCGAGCAGGUCCAUCCAUUGCGCUCCCCGGGUUACCUGUCCGGGGGUACAUUUCCGGAUCAGCCC
Molecule: unclassified non-coding RNA, 328 nt
Filed under: uncultured bacterium
Lineage: Bacteria
Description: contains 16S-23S intergenic spacer region
Source: RNAcentral